RNAcentral lists this ribosomal RNA (429 nucleotides) under Gemmatimonadota bacterium. Its description in RNAcentral is "Gemmatimonadetes bacterium partial 16S ribosomal RNA". It matches the Rfam family "Bacterial small subunit ribosomal RNA", at positions 355 to 776 of the family's 1533-position model. Lineage: Bacteria; Pseudomonadati; Gemmatimonadota. The record is from RNAcentral.
UAGGGAAUCUUCGGCAAUGGACGAAAGUCUGACCGAGCAACGCCGCGUGAGUGAAGAAGGUUUUCGGAUCGUAAAACUCUGUUGUUAGAGAAGAACAAGGACGUUAGUAACUGAACGUCCCCUGACGGUAUCUAACCAGAAAGCCACGGCUAACUACGUGCCAGCAGCCGCGGUAAUACGUAGGUGGCAAGCGUUGUCCGGAUUUAUUGGGCGUAAAGCGAGCGCAGGCGGUUUCUUAAGUCUGAUGUGAAAGCCCCCGGCUCAACCGGGGAGGGUCAUUGGAAACUGGGAUACUUGAGUGCAGAAGAGGAGAGUGGAAUUCCAUGUGUAGCGGUGAAAUGCGUAGAUAUAUGGAAGAACCCCAGUGGCAAAGGCGGCUGUCUGGUAUGUAACUGACGCUGAGGCUCGAAAGCGUGGGGAGCAAACAGG